This 336-nucleotide RNase P RNA is filed under the name Polaromonas sp. RNAcentral's name for it is "RNase P RNA component class A". It matches the Rfam family "Bacterial RNase P class A". From Rfam's summary of the family: Ribonuclease P (RNase P) is a ubiquitous endoribonuclease, found in archaea, bacteria and eukarya as well as chloroplasts and mitochondria. Lineage: Bacteria; Pseudomonadati; Pseudomonadota; Betaproteobacteria; Burkholderiales; Comamonadaceae. The record is from RNAcentral. RNAcentral also lists the same sequence under 1 other name.
GAAGCUCGCUAGGCCGUCGCUGGUGCAAUUUGGGAAACCAAGCACUGGAGGAACGUCCGGACUGCAUAGGACAGCGUAGCAGCUAACAGCUGUCCACUGAAAGUCGCAAGAUAUAAGGUGAGGAUCAGAGCAACAGAGACGAGCCAAUUCAGUUUGGGUGAAACGGGCAAUCUCUACGCGCAGCAAUACCAAAUAGGCUAUCUUUGAGGCGGUUCGCUGAGAUAGCGGGUAGGUAGCACCGAGCUUUGGGGUAACUCAAAGCCAAGAUGAAUGACGGUCACGGUGUAGCUUUAGGGCUAUGCCGCACAAAAUCCGGCGUAUCGGCGAGCUUCACUU